Molecule: ribosomal RNA, 842 nt
Filed under: Escherichia coli
Lineage: Bacteria; Pseudomonadati; Pseudomonadota; Gammaproteobacteria; Enterobacterales; Enterobacteriaceae
Description: partial 23S ribosomal RNA
Rfam family: Bacterial large subunit ribosomal RNA
Source: RNAcentral
AGGUCCCAAAGUCAUGGUUAAGUGGGAAACGAUGUGGGAAGGCCCAGACAGCCAGGAUGUUGGCUUAGAAGCAGCCAUCAUUUAAAGAAAGCGUAAUAGCUCACUGGUCGAGUCGGCCUGCGCGGAAGAUGUAACGGGGCUAAACCAUGCACCGAAGCUGCGGCAGCGACACUAUGUGUUGUUGGGUAGGGGAGCGUUCUGUAAGCCUGUGAAGGUGUGCUGUGAGGCAUGCUGGAGGUAUCAGAAGUGCGAAUGCUGACAUAAGUAACGAUAAAGCGGGUGAAAAGCCCGCUCGCCGGAAGACCAAGGGUUCCUGUCCAACGUUAAUCGGGGCAGGGUGAGUCGACCCCUAAGGCGAGGCCGAAAGGCGUAGUCGAUGGGAAACAGGUUAAUAUUCCUGUACUUGGUGUUACUGCGAAGGGGGGACGGAGAAGGCUAUGUUGGCCGGGCGACGGUUGUCCCGGUUUAAGCGUGUAGGCUGGUUUUCCAGGCAAAUCCGGAAAAUCAAGGCUGAGGCGUGAUGACGAGGCACUACGGUGCUGAAGCAACAAAUGCCCUGCUUCCAGGAAAAGCCUCUAAGCAUCAGGUAACAUCAAAUCGUACCCCAAACCGACACAGGUGGUCAGGUAGAGAAUACCAAGGCGCUUGAGAGAACUCGGGUGAAGGAACUAGGCAAAAUGGUGCCGUAACUUCGGGAGAAGGCACGCUGAUAUGUAGGUGAAGUCCCUUGCGGAUGGAGCUGAAAUCAGUCGAAGAUACCAGCUGGCUGCAACUGUUUAUUAAAAACACAGCACUGUGCAAACACGAAAGUGGACGUAUACGGUGUGACGCCUGCCCGGUGC